GGUUAGUACUUUGGCGAAGUCUUACGCAGGAGGGGAGGAGCAGGAGCAGAUGUGACAUCACCAGGCAGACCAAAACUCCAUCCCAACAAAACAUGCUGAAAUUGAAGGCCUUUAACAGGGGUGUGCUGCUAAAGUCAAUCAACACACGUCUUUCACCUCGAGAGAGAUCUGCUCUGGGCCACUGGGACAGCACAGAAAGAAAACCGUUACAGUCUUGUCUCAUCGCUGCAACUCCCGUACGGACUCGGGAGAGGCGAAGGCCAAGAGCGGUGCGUCCUCCGAAACCCAACCAAGCCUCACUGCUUCUUGACACAAUGCCCAUUUAACAUAGAUGCCAGCCACACCAAUGUGUCAGAGGAAACACCGUACCCCUGGCGACUGUCAGCGUGCAUGCGCCCGGAGCCUGGACUCAAACCCAGAAUCUCUAGUUGCACAGCUAGCACUGCGAUGCAGUGCCUUAGACCACUGCACCACUCGGGAGGCCCUGAUCAGAGGAUUUCUGAGAAGACACUUAUAUAGUGCUUUGUUUUGCACAUGAAGUGGUCCAUAUAAAGAUGUGGAUGGAUGGAG
RNAcentral lists this long non-coding RNA (570 nucleotides) under Salmo salar (Atlantic salmon). Its description in RNAcentral is "lncRNA (ENSSSAG00000107204.1, ENSSSAG00075027433.1)". Lineage: Eukaryota; Metazoa; Chordata; Actinopteri; Salmoniformes; Salmonidae. The record is from RNAcentral.